UAUCUCUGUAGAGUCUGCAUAUCAAUAAGCGGAGGAAAAGAAACUAACAAGGAUUCCCUUAGUAACGGCGAGUGAAGCGGGAAGAGCUCAAAUUUGAAAUCUUCAAGGUUCUACCUUGACGAAUUGUAGUUUAAAGAAGUGUUUUCUGUUAGAUUUGAGUAGAAAAGUUCCUUGGAAUAGGACAUCAUAGAGGGUGAGAAUCCCGUAUUUGACCAUUAUUUUCAGCUUUGUGAUACACUUUCAAAGAGUCGGAUUGUUUGGGAAUGCAGUCCAAAAUGGGUGGUAAAUUUCAUCUAAAGCUAAAUAUUGGCGAGAGACCGAUAGCGAACAAGUACCGUGAGGGAAAGAUGAAAAGAACUUUGAAAAGAGAGUUAAACAGUACGUGAAAUUGUCAAAAGGGAAGCGUUUGACACCAGUGUUGUUUUCUCGAAAAUCAAUUAAAAAAAGUUGGAUUUUGUAUUGUUAAGACCUUAUCAGCUUACUGUACUCUUUUCUUGCUUUUUUUAAUGCACUUUUCGUUUAACAAGUCAACAUCAAUUUCUUUUGUUGUAAAAGAGUCAUUGGAAGGUGGCUUUCACUUCGGUGAAAGUGUUUAUAGCCUUUGGCUUCUGCAAUCGGAGAGAUUGAGGUCUGCAGCGUAGAUCCUUCGGGGCUAGAUACGUAGAUGCUAAGUUAUAGUUUUUAUAGACAACUUGUUGACUAUAAUUAAUCAUGUAGCUUACUCGUUUGCGCUAUUUUACCUACGCUUAGGAUGUUGAUAGUCACAGCGUGUAC
RNAcentral lists this ribosomal RNA (774 nucleotides) under uncultured Neocallimastigales. Its description in RNAcentral is "partial large subunit ribosomal RNA". It matches the Rfam family "Eukaryotic large subunit ribosomal RNA", at positions 24 to 634 of the family's 3401-position model. Lineage: Eukaryota; Fungi; Neocallimastigomycota; Neocallimastigomycetes; Neocallimastigales. The record is from RNAcentral.